Molecule: ribosomal RNA, 465 nt
Filed under: Vreelandella stevensii
Lineage: Bacteria; Pseudomonadati; Pseudomonadota; Gammaproteobacteria; Oceanospirillales; Halomonadaceae
Description: partial 16S ribosomal RNA
Rfam family: Bacterial small subunit ribosomal RNA
Source: RNAcentral
CCUACGGGGGGCUGCAGUGGGGAAUAUUGGACAAUGGGGGGAACCCUGAUCCAGCCAUGCCGCGUGUGUGAAGAAGGCCCUCGGGUUGUAAAGCACUUUCAGUGAGGAAGAACGCCUGGUGGUUAAUACCCAUCAGGAAAGACAUCACUCACAGAAGAAGCACCGGCUAACUCCGUGCCAGCAGCCGCGGUAAUACGGAGGGUGCGAGCGUUAAUCGGAAUUACUGGGCGUAAAGCGCGCGUAGGUGGCUUGAUAAGCCGGUUGUGAAAGCCCCGGGCUCAACCUGGGAACGGCAUCCGGAACUGUCAAGCUAGAGUGCAGGAGAGGAAGGUAGAAUUCCCGGUGCAGCGGUGAAAUGCGUAGAGAUCGGGAGGAAUACCAGUGGCGAAGGCGGCCUUCUGGACUGACACUGACACUGAGGUGCGAAAGCGUGGGUAGCAAACAGGAUUAGAUACCCUGGUAGUC